This 273-nucleotide ribosomal RNA is filed under the name uncultured bacterium. Its description in RNAcentral is "partial 16S ribosomal RNA". It matches the Rfam family "Bacterial small subunit ribosomal RNA", at positions 85 to 354 of the family's 1533-position model. The record is from RNAcentral.
CCGCCGGCGACCGGCGCACGGGCGAGUAACACGUAUGCAACCUGGCCGUGACAGAUGGAUAACCGGGAGAAAUCCCGCCUAAUACAGCAUGACGCCGGGAAGGGACAUCCCUUUCCGGCCAAAGGGGGCGACUCCGGUCACGGAUGGGCAUGCGGCGCAUUAGGUAGUUGGUGGGGCAACGGCCCACCAAGCCGACGAUGCGUAGGGGUUCUGAGAGGAAGGUCCCCCACAUUGGAACUGAGACACGGUCCAAACUCCUACGGAAGGCAGCAG